Molecule: ribosomal RNA, 499 nt
Filed under: uncultured bacterium
Lineage: Bacteria
Description: partial 16S ribosomal RNA
Rfam family: Bacterial small subunit ribosomal RNA
Source: RNAcentral
GACGAACGCUGGCGGCGUGCCUAGUACAUGCAAGUCGAGCGAAGUUUUUCUGGUGCUUGCACUAGAAAAACUUAGCGGCGAACGGGUGAGUAACACGUAAAGAACCUGCCUCAUAGACUGGGACAACUAUUUGAAACGAUAGCUAAUACCGGAUAACAGUAUUUCUCGCAUGAGAGAUAUUUAAAAGUUGGUUAUGCUAACACUAUGAGAUGGCUUUGCGGUGCAUUAGCUAGUUGGUGGGGUAAAGGCCCACCAAGGCGACGAUGCAUAGCCGACCUGAGAGGGUGAUCGGCCACACUGGGACUGAGACACGGCCCAGACUCCUACGGGAGGCAGCAGUAGGGAAUCUUCCGCAAUGGGCGAAAGCCUGACGGAGCAACGCCGCGUGAGUGAAGAAGGAUUUCGGUUCGUAAAGCUCUGUUGUUAGGGAAGAAUGGAUAUGUAGUAACUAUACAUGUAAGAGACGGUACCUAACCAGAAAGCCACGGCUAACUACGUG